UACGGAAGGCAGCAGUGGGGAAUAUUGCACAAUGGGCGCAAGCCUGAUGCAGCCAUGCCGCGUGUAUGAAGAAGGGCCUUCGGGUUGUAAAGUACUUUCAGUCGUGAGGAAGGUGUUAAGGUUAAUAACCUUAGCAAUUGACGUUAGCGACAGAAGAAGCACCGGCUAACUCCGUGCCAGCAGCCGCGGUAAUACGGAGGGUGCGAGCGUUAAUCGGAAUUACUGGGCGUAAAGGGCACGCAGGCGGUUAAUUAAGUUGGAUGUGAAAUCCCCGGGCUUAACCUGGGAAUGGCAUUCAAGACUGGUUAGCUAGAGUCUUGUAGAGGGGGUAGAAUUCCAUGUGUAGCGGUGAAAUGCGUAGAGAUGUGGAGGAAUACCGGUGGCGAAGGCGGCCCCUGGGACAAAGGACUGACGCUCAUGUGCGAAAGCGUGGGGAGCAAACAGGGAUUAGAUACC
This 456-nucleotide ribosomal RNA is filed under the name uncultured bacterium. RNAcentral's name for it is "bacterial SSU rRNA". It matches the Rfam family "Bacterial small subunit ribosomal RNA", at positions 340 to 786 of the family's 1533-position model. The record is from RNAcentral.